GGCCCUGAUUCAGAGGACGCUGGUUCUGUUGAAACAAGGCCUGCACGGUGCCUCGGGGUGGGGGCAGGAAUGUGCUGAAAUAGGAAAGGAAACUGUUGCUCACCCCUCACCCCCAGAACGGUACCAGGAACCACGCUCACUCUUUAAAGGACGUUUUAAAUAAAGUCUUCAGGAAGGCUCACACUGUUCCUACUGUGAGUAACUUGCGGCUCUCUCUGAAGGAGGCGUCAGGGCACCUUUUCUAACUUGCGGCUCUCUCUGAAGGAGGCGUCAGGGCACCUUUUCUAACUUGCGACUCUCUGAAGGAGGCGUCAGGGCACCUUUUCUAACUUGCGGCUUCUCUGAAGGAUACGUCAGGGCACCUUUUCUAACUUGCGGCUUCUCUGAAGGAGGCGUCAGGGCACCUUUUCUAACUUGCGGCUCUCUCUGAAGGAGGCGUCAGGGCACCUUUUCUAACCUGCGGCUUCUUUGAAGGAUACGUCAGGGCACCUUUUCUAACUUGCGGCUUCUCUGAAGGAGGCGUCAGGGCACCUUUUUGGUCCUUGAACACACGGCACGGUUGUUUUUCAGGGAGGUGCUGGAAAUGACGUGAAAGUCGCUCAGUCGUGUCCGACUCUUCGCGACCGCAUGGACAGUCCAUGGGAUUCUCCAGAGUAGAAUCCUGGAGUGGGUGGCCUUUCCCUUCUCUGGGGGAUCUUCCCAGCCCAGGGACGGAACCCAGGUCUCCUGCUUUGCAGGCGGAUUCUUUACCAGCUGAGUCCCCAGGAAGCCCUCGUGUGUAAGAAUUAAAACAGAGCUUCCGCCUUCACCCCGGCUCUCACUCCUUGACUUUUUGUUUUCCCCCUGUGUUGGGGCUUCGCGUUUGCUCCCUGACCCCAGCUUGAAAUCAGCUCUGAGGAGGAGACCUCCCCGGCCUCCCUGAGGUUCCCCCUGGAAUCCCUGGAAACCCGGCCCACAGGGCCACCAUGUGGCCCACAGAGCCCAACCUCCUCCCCGCGCGGCCACGGCUCCGCCCAGCGUCUGCACCCCGGGCUGGCCUUCAACAUUCCAGCUGCUCCAAGAAGCCUCUCCUCCAGAUGCUGCCCUGUCUGGGGCUGCCCCUUGGACCUGCGGCGACUCUCCUCCAAGAGCUUAAGGAGCGUCCUGCUGCCUUUGUCUCCUGUCCCACUCAUAAAGUUAACAGGCGCGCUCUGG
Molecule: long non-coding RNA, 1194 nt
Filed under: Bos indicus x Bos taurus (hybrid cattle)
Lineage: Eukaryota; Metazoa; Chordata; Mammalia; Artiodactyla; Bovidae
Description: lncRNA (ENSBIXG00005027258.1)
Source: RNAcentral